Molecule: ribosomal RNA, 179 nt
Filed under: Achromobacter xylosoxidans
Lineage: Bacteria; Pseudomonadati; Pseudomonadota; Betaproteobacteria; Burkholderiales; Alcaligenaceae
Description: partial 16S ribosomal RNA
Rfam family: Bacterial small subunit ribosomal RNA
Source: RNAcentral
AAAUCGGGGGAAAGCGUAGCUAAUACCGCAUACGCCCUACGGGGGAAAGCAGGGGGAUCGUAAGACCUUGCACUAUUGGAGCGGCCGAUAUCGGAUUAGCUAGUUGGUGGGGUAACGGCUCACCAAGGCGACGAUCCGUAGCUGGUUUGAGAGGACGACCAGCCACACUGGGACUGAGA